Molecule: ribosomal RNA, 868 nt
Filed under: uncultured archaeon
Lineage: Archaea
Description: bacterial SSU rRNA
Rfam family: Archaeal small subunit ribosomal RNA
Source: RNAcentral
CUCCGGUUGAUCCUGCCGGACCCGACUGCUAUCAGAGUGGGACUAAGCCAUGCGAGUCAACGUAGCAAUACGUGGCAUACGGCUCAGUAACACGUAGUCAACAUGCCCAGGGGACGAGGAUAACCUCGGGAAACUGAGGAUAAACCUCGAUAGGCCAUGAUUUCUGGAAUGAUUCUUGGCUCAAACCUAUAUGGCCCCUGGAUUGGACUGCGGCCGAUCAGGCUGUUGGUGAGGUAAUGGCCCACCAAACCUGUAACCGGUACGGGCUCUGAGAGGAGGAGCCCGGAGAUGGGCACUGAGACAAGGGCCCAGGCCCUAUGGGGCGCAGCAGGCGCGAAACCUCUGCAAUAGGCGAAAGCUUGACAGGGUUACUCUGAGUGAUUUCCGUUAAGGAGAUCUUUUGGCACCUCUAAAAAUGGUGCAGAAUAAGGGGUGGGCAAGUCUGGUGUCAGCCGCCGCGGUAAUACCAGCACCCCGAGUGGUCGGGACGUUUAUUGGGCCUAAAGCAUCCGUAGCCGGUUCUACAAGUCUUCCGUUAAAUCCACCUGCUUAACAGAUGGGCUGCGGAAGAUACUAUAGAGCUAGGAGGCGGGAGAGGCAAGCGGUACUCGAUGGGUAGGGGUAAAAUCCGUUGAUCCAUUGAAGACCACCAGUGGCGAAGGCGGCCUGCCAGAACGCGCUCGACGGUGAGGGAUGAAAGCUGGGGGAGCAAACCGGAUUAGAUACCCGGGUAGUCCCAGCUGUAAACGAUGCAGACUCGGUGAUGAGUUGGCUUAUUGCUAACUCAGUGCCGCAGGGAAGCCGUUAAGUUUGCCGCCUGGGGAGUACGGUCGCAAGACUGAAACUUAAAGGAAUUGGCGGGGGAGCA